UAGGGAAUCUUCGGCAAUGGACGAAAGUCUGACCGAGCAACGCCGCGUGAGUGAAGAAGGUUUUCGGAUCGUAAAACUCUGUUGUUAGAGAAGAACAAGGACGUUAGUAACUGAACGUCCCCUGACGGUAUCUAACCAGAAAGCCACGGCUAACUACGUGCCAGCAGCCGCGGUAAUACGUAGGUGGCAAGCGUUGUCCGGAUUUAUUGGGCGUAAAGCGAGCGCAGGCGGUUUCUUAAGUCUGAUGUGAAAGCCCCCGGCUCAACCGGGGAGGGUCAUUGGAAACUGGGAGUCUUGAGUGCAGAAGAGGUGAGUGGAAUUCCAUGUGUAGCGGUGAAAUGCGUAGAUAUAUGGAGGAACACCAGUGGCGAAGGCGGCUCUCUGGUCUGUAACUGACGCUGAGGCUCGAAAGCGUGGGGAGCAAACAGG
Molecule: ribosomal RNA, 429 nt
Filed under: Gemmatimonadota bacterium
Lineage: Bacteria; Pseudomonadati; Gemmatimonadota
Description: Gemmatimonadetes bacterium partial 16S ribosomal RNA
Rfam family: Bacterial small subunit ribosomal RNA
Source: RNAcentral